Non-coding RNA from Camellia sinensis, 673 nucleotides. Lineage: Eukaryota; Viridiplantae; Streptophyta; Magnoliopsida; Ericales; Theaceae. The record is from RefSeq and is a predicted model, not a curated record.
UGUAUAUAUAUACACAUACUUGUUUUUCAUGUUGGAGUUUGAAUCAUGAGAGGCUAUGUGGUGGUUUUGGAGUUAUGUCUUCCUUACACAACUAACAUUUUUCAAAAAUUAACAAAAAUAUAAUCGAUUCCACUAGUUAAACUACCCGGGGGCACAUAAUUAUUUACUUUGAAUCAGAGUUUUGAUGUGUAGAGGAGCUCAAUUUGAUUUUGAAUAUCUGUACCAAACGUCAGUUAAGCAAAAAAAAUUAAUCUUUAUUAAUGCAAUCAAGGAAAGAUACAUCAAUAAAGAUGAAGAUUGGGGAGGCGCAAAAAGCAACAAAGCAAAACAACUUAUCCCAACUAAAUUGGCACAAGAAGAAUCACACAAUCAUAUGCAACACCUCCGCAACCAACACAAUGACAGAAAAGAAAAACAGGGUUGGCAAGGCUCCACCAGAAAAUGCAACACUGAAAACGCCAGAAAAUUCUAUGAUGAUUGUUGAAGAGGAGAUUCAUAGAGGAUUGUUGUCUGCGAUAAUUGUUGUCUGUUGUUUUCUGUGGGCAGAGGAGAUUCAUAGAGGAUAUUUGUUUUCUCAUACUAUGCAUGCUGUUUGUUUCUGCUGUUUGUUUCUCUUAUUUGUUUGUGGAAUGGUGGAGUUACUGAUAGGUAUAAUGUUUUAUGGGUGAGUUAU